GCAGCAGCAGCAGCAGCAGCAAUCAAAAAGCACCCUUGCCAUGCCCACAGCAAGAUGUGUCUCGCCCACCACAAGCCUUGCCUUGCCCACUGAGAGCCUCACCUUGUCCACCACGAGCCUUGUCAUGCCCAUCACAAACCAUGCAGUGCCAACUACCAGCUCUAACUCACCCACCUCAAGAAGUGCCAUGCCCUCGGCAGAAUAUCCCAAGCCCACCUCAAGACUCGUUAUGGCAUCCUCAACACUCACCAAGCCCACCUCAAGACUCUCUGGGCCUACCUCAAGAUGUGCCAGGCCCGCCUCAAAGCAUAUUACAUCCACAAGAUGUGGCAUACCUGCAAGACAUGCCACAGUCACCAGGAGAUGUGCCACGGUCACCAGGAACCAUGCCACCAUCACCAGAUGUGCCACAGUCACCAGGAGACAUGCUAGGGCCACCAGGAGAUGUGCCACAGUCACCAAGUUAUGUUUCACCGUCACCAGAUGCACCACAGUCACCAGGGGGCAUGCCACACUUACCGGGAGAUGUGUUAUGUUCACCUGGAGACAUGCCACACUCAUCAGGGGACGUGACACACUCACCUAGAGACAUCCCUCACUUACCAGGAGACAGGCCUGACUUUACCCAGAAUGAUGUACAGAACCGUGACAUGCCUAUGGAUAUCUCAGCUCUGUCCUCUCCAAGCUGCUCUCCCAGCCCACAGUCUGAAACUCCCUUAGAGAAAGUUCCUUGGCUCUCUGUCAUGGAAACCCUAGCCAGAAAAGAAAUAUCACUGUCAGAGCCUGCCAAACCUGGGUCUGCCCACGUACAAUCACGAACACCACAAGGUGGGUUGUACGACAGACCAUGCCUGCAUAGACUGAAGUACUUCUUACGACCUCCGGUUCAUCACCUCUUCUUUCAGACGCUAAUACCGGAUAAAGACACAAGAGAGAACAAGGGUCAAAAAUUAGAACCCAUCCCUCAUCGAAGACUAAGAAUGGUAACAAAUACCAUUGAAGAGAAUUUUCCUCUGGGGACUGUGCAGUUUUUGAUGGACUUUGUGUCACCCCAGCAUUACCCACCAAGAGAAAUCGUGGCUCACAUCAUCCAGAAAAUCUUGCUCAGUGGCUCUGAGACUGUGGAUGUCCUAAAGGAGGCCUACAUGCUUCUCAUGAAAAUUCAACGGU
RNAcentral lists this long non-coding RNA (1170 nucleotides) under Pan troglodytes (chimpanzee). Its description in RNAcentral is "long non-coding RNA NONPTRT014376". Lineage: Eukaryota; Metazoa; Chordata; Mammalia; Primates; Hominidae. The record is from RNAcentral.